This is a long non-coding RNA of Balaenoptera acutorostrata (minke whale), 420 nucleotides long. RefSeq lists it as uncharacterized. The transcript is spliced from 3 exons. The record is from RefSeq and is a predicted model, not a curated record. NCBI's taxonomy places the organism in Eukaryota, Metazoa, Chordata, Mammalia, Artiodactyla, Balaenopteridae.
UGCAGAUAAAGAAACAAGUUCAGAAAAGAGCUGUGUUACUUGCCUAAAGUUGAGCAGACCAAGGUAAAACAAAAUGUGAUAAUUCUACUGCUCUGAGCAACUUUGGAGCCAACAGCUGAUGAAGUAUUGGAGAUGCAGUGUGGGGUAGUGAGACUCAGAAGACAAAUUCCCACACAGACUCUGUGUGACUUCAAGCAAGACAUGAGAAGAUGAGAUGGCAUGCUGGAAAUUCCCAUGUAGCCUUCCAGAUCCACUCCCUACUCUCCUCCACCCUGCUCUGCACCCCAGCUGCUGACCUGGAGGACCUGAAGCAAGGCACCUUCUCUGUGGCUUCCCACUGAGGUUAUCCAGAGAAACGCAUGGACAGAGAACCAGAAAAGAGAAAAGUCAGGGCCUGUAUUCCCCAGAUGCCUUACUGAU